Long non-coding RNA from Panicum virgatum (switchgrass), 1046 nucleotides. RefSeq lists it as uncharacterized. NCBI's taxonomy places the organism in Eukaryota, Viridiplantae, Streptophyta, Magnoliopsida, Poales, Poaceae. The transcript is spliced from 3 exons. The record is from RefSeq and is a predicted model, not a curated record.
UCUCUCGACAGCUUCUCGUGCCCGACCCCUAUCGGUGUGCCGCCGCCUUCUCUGCUCCUAUCGUCCCUAGCAUCAUCUCCUCUUCCAUCCUGCUGUCACCUCCGGAGCGCCGCCGCCCUCAGUUUCUGUCCCUGCAAGCUGCUGCUCUACUCCUGGUUGGCCAUUGCAGCCGCUCCAACCAGCAGGGGUUAGGACAGGGAAGUUAGCAGCAAGAAGGAGAAUCAGAGAGGAGAAAAGAUUUGGGCCUUGCAAGAUCCAACAAAUCCCUUUACAAACCUUGAUUUCUGGGUUAAGGUUUGAUAAAUUCUAGUGGCGAGCAUGUGGCGCCGGAUUCCCGACAAGGUUAAGGCAAGUGCAAUGACGAACCUCUUGAUGUGCAAUUAUGUUUGUGGCUUUCUUGCUACCCUUGGGCGACGUUUAUUCAAUAUCUUUAUUUUAUAUGUCAAUUCCUUUAAGAAUCUUGUCAUAAUUUUCUGGUUCUGCCAAAUGUUCAAGAUUCAUGUGUUGCCUUUCAUAUCAUUCAUGUGCCAGAGGUUUGUAUAAACACCGGUUGUGCAAUAUGGUUCUUAUGUUCAGGUUCCUGUGAAUAAGUGUUGGCUCCACUUAUUCAGCUUUACCGGUAAAUGCAAAGAAAGUUUCAGGUGACAUCCGUUUCAGACAGAAACUACUGUUCAUUGGUGGAUUUUCCAUUGUUCUUAUAAUUGCAGUCAUUCUUCUGGUUCUAAGUUGUGCUUGCUGAGUAUUUUUACUCACUCUUGUGUUUAUUUGGCUUUUAGGUACUCGCUGAUCAAGUUUGCAUGGGAUGGGAGUAGCCACUUCACUAUGAAAAUGCACACACCUUGCCAUUCAUUAAAAUAAAUCUCUAGACUCGAUAUUUCUUUUGAAAUUAAGGAUGUGGUCGUUUGGAUGUCGUUUAAGUUCGCUCGGUCUUGUUGGUCGAUGUGGAGUUCUUAAUACUGUUUAGCUAUAUCAUCUUGCUAUUAUAUGACUUGUGUGCCCGCGAAUGUUACAAUUUAUAGAGGAGACUGUGCCAAAAUUUACUAGAA